Molecule: long non-coding RNA, 590 nt
Organism: Prionailurus viverrinus (fishing cat)
Lineage: Eukaryota; Metazoa; Chordata; Mammalia; Carnivora; Felidae
Exons: 3
Source: RefSeq, a predicted model, not a curated record
GUCCCCUGGGUCUGCGAUGGAAUGUUCCACCUCUUGCUGUCCCCUGGCUGGGUCUGUGAUGGAAUGUUCCACUUCUGCCCCCCCCUUGAUGCAUGAUGGAAUGUUCCACCUCUGCCCCCCUCACGGGUCUAUCAUGGAUUGACCCAGACACGUGGCAUUCUCAGACAACCUGUUUGCAAUCAUGAAAUUGGGAUGAGCUGAAAGAGAAGGUCUAGCAAGUGUCUGGGAAGGAGGAUCAAACCCUGAAUCUUCCUGAGGAUUCAGCUUUCCACGCCAAAUUCUGCACUGAGUCUUUUUAUAGGAGAAGUGAGCUUCUAACCCACAUCUGUCUUUCCCAGCCACUCCGUGCUAAGCAAGAAGAGGGUCAACAAAGCGUGCAGUUGGGGACGGGACUGACCCUCCGACGCCAGGAUCCUCCGCUGGGACUCAGCGCUGGAAGAGAAGCCCAGCGUGGUGCAGUGCCCUGAGGACCUCAGAUCAGCCAGGAGGCCUGGCGGGCUGUCCUCUGCUGCGGGGGUUUGAACCUCAGAAAGUUGGAAGAGAGCACGAGGAGAGAGAGAGAAGGAGAAGGAGACACAGAAUCCAAAGCA